UACGUAGGUGGCAAGCGUUGUCCGGAAUUAUUGGGCGUAAAGCGCGCGCAGGCGGUCCUUUAAGUCUGAUGUGAAAGCCCACGGCUCAACCGUGGAGGGUCAUUGGAAACUGGGGGGACUUGAGUGCAGGAGAGAAGAGUGGAAUUCCACGUGUAGCGGUGAAAUGCGCAGAUAUCAGGAGGAACACCGGUGGCGAAGGCGGGACUCUGGGCCGAGUGACUGACGCUGGAGGAGCGAAAGCGUGGGGAGCAAACAGG
RNAcentral lists this ribosomal RNA (257 nucleotides) under uncultured bacterium. Its description in RNAcentral is "partial 16S ribosomal RNA". It matches the Rfam family "Bacterial small subunit ribosomal RNA", at positions 524 to 776 of the family's 1533-position model. The record is from RNAcentral.